CACACCGCCCGUCACAUCACGAAAGUGGGUUGUACUAGAAGUCUGCAGGCUGACCCGCAAGGGGGACGACGCCCACGGAGUGGUUCAUGACUGGGUG
Molecule: ribosomal RNA, 97 nt
Filed under: uncultured bacterium
Lineage: Bacteria
Description: partial 16S ribosomal RNA
Source: RNAcentral